This 491-nucleotide ribosomal RNA is filed under the name uncultured bacterium. Its description in RNAcentral is "bacterial SSU rRNA". It matches the Rfam family "Bacterial small subunit ribosomal RNA", at positions 15 to 507 of the family's 1533-position model. The record is from RNAcentral.
GAUCCUGGCUCAGGAUGAACGCUAGCGGCAGGCUUAACACAUGCAAGUCGAGGGGUAUAGUUCUUCGGAACUAGAGACCGGCGCACGGGUGCGUAACGCGUAUGCAAUCUACCUUUCACAAAGGGAUAGCCCAGAGAAAUUUGGAUUAAUACCUUAUAGUAAUACGACUUGGCAUCAAGAUGUAUUUAAAGAUUUAUCGGUGAAAGAUGAGCAUGCGUCCCAUUAGCUUGUUGGUAAGGUAACGGCUUACCAAGGCAACGAUGGGUAGGGGUCCUGAGAGGGAGAUCCCCCACACUGGUACUGAGACACGGACCAGACUCCUACGGGAGGCAGCAGUGAGGAAUAUUGGACAAUGGGCGCAAGCCUGAUCCAGCCAUGCCGCGUGCAGGAUGACGGUCCUAUGGAUUGUAAACUGCUUUUGUACAGGAAGAAACCCUUUCACGUGUGGAAGAUUGACGGUACUGUAAGAAUAAGGAUCGGCUAACUCCGUG